This 612-nucleotide ribosomal RNA is filed under the name Meyerozyma guilliermondii. RNAcentral's name for it is "eukaryotic LSU rRNA". It matches the Rfam family "Eukaryotic large subunit ribosomal RNA", at positions 39 to 667 of the family's 3401-position model. The record is from RNAcentral. Lineage: Eukaryota; Fungi; Ascomycota; Pichiomycetes; Serinales; Debaryomycetaceae.
CAUAUCAAUAAGCGGAGGAAAAGAAACCAACAGGGAUUGCCUUAGUAGCGGCGAGUGAAGCGGCAAAAGCUCAAAUUUGAAAUCUGGCGCCUUCGGUGUCCGAGUUGUAAUUUGAAGAUUGUAACCUUGGGGUUGGCUCUUGUCUAUGUUUCUUGGAACAGGACGUCACAGAGGGUGAGAAUCCCGUGCGAUGAGAUGCCCAAUUCUAUGUAAGGUGCUUUCGAAGAGUCGAGUUGUUUGGGAAUGCAGCUCUAAGUGGGUGGUAAAUUCCAUCUAAAGCUAAAUAUUGGCGAGAGACCGAUAGCGAACAAGUACAGUGAUGGAAAGAUGAAAAGAACUUUGAAAAGAGAGUGAAAAAGUACGUGAAAUUGUUGAAAGGGAAGGGUUUGAGAUCAGACUCGAUAUUUUGUGAGCCUUGCCUUCGUGGCGGGGUGACCCGCAGCUUAUCGGGCCAGCAUCGGUUUGGGCGGUAGGAUAAUGGCGUAGGAAUGUGACUUUACUUCGGUGAAGUGUUAUAGCCUGCGUUGAUGCUGCCUGCCUAGACCGAGGACUGCGAUUUUAUCAAGGAUGCUGGCAUAAUGAUCCCAAACCGCCCGUCUUGAAACACGGACC